This 1542-nucleotide ribosomal RNA is filed under the name Escherichia fergusonii. RNAcentral describes it as "bacterial SSU rRNA". It matches the Rfam family "Bacterial small subunit ribosomal RNA". Lineage: Bacteria; Pseudomonadati; Pseudomonadota; Gammaproteobacteria; Enterobacterales; Enterobacteriaceae. The record is from RNAcentral.
AAAUUGAAGAGUUUGAUCAUGGCUCAGAUUGAACGCUGGCGGCAGGCCUAACACAUGCAAGUCGAACGGUAACAGGAAUCAGCUUGCUGAUUCGCUGACGAGUGGCGGACGGGUGAGUAAUGUCUGGGAAACUGCCUGAUGGAGGGGGAUAACUACUGGAAACGGUAGCUAAUACCGCAUAACGUCGCAAGACCAAAGAGGGGGACCUUCGGGCCUCUUGCCAUCGGAUGUGCCCAGAUGGGAUUAGCUAGUAGGUGGGGUAACGGCUCACCUAGGCGACGAUCCCUAGCUGGUCUGAGAGGAUGACCAGCCACACUGGAACUGAGACACGGUCCAGACUCCUACGGGAGGCAGCAGUGGGGAAUAUUGCACAAUGGGCGCAAGCCUGAUGCAGCCAUGCCGCGUGUAUGAAGAAGGCCUUCGGGUUGUAAAGUACUUUCAGCGGGGAGGAAGGGAGUAAAGUUAAUACCUUUGCUCAUUGACGUUACCCGCAGAAGAAGCACCGGCUAACUCCGUGCCAGCAGCCGCGGUAAUACGGAGGGUGCAAGCGUUAAUCGGAAUUACUGGGCGUAAAGCGCACGCAGGCGGUUUGUUAAGUCAGAUGUGAAAUCCCCGGGCUCAACCUGGGAACUGCAUCUGAUACUGGCAAGCUUGAGUCUCGUAGAGGGGGGUAGAAUUCCAGGUGUAGCGGUGAAAUGCGUAGAGAUCUGGAGGAAUACCGGUGGCGAAGGCGGCCCCCUGGACGAAGACUGACGCUCAGGUGCGAAAGCGUGGGGAGCAAACAGGAUUAGAUACCCUGGUAGUCCACGCCGUAAACGAUGUCGACUUGGAGGUUGUGCCCUUGAGGCGUGGCUUCCGGAGCUAACGCGUUAAGUCGACCGCCUGGGGAGUACGGCCGCAAGGUUAAAACUCAAAUGAAUUGACGGGGGCCCGCACAAGCGGUGGAGCAUGUGGUUUAAUUCGAUGCAACGCGAAGAACCUUACCUGGUCUUGACAUCCACGGAAGUUUUCAGAGAUGAGAAUGUGCCUUCGGGAACCGUGAGACAGGUGCUGCAUGGCUGUCGUCAGCUCGUGUUGUGAAAUGUUGGGUUAAGUCCCGCAACGAGCGCAACCCUUAUCCUUUGUUGCCAGCGGUCCGGCCGGGAACUCAAAGGAGACUGCCAGUGAUAAACUGGAGGAAGGUGGGGAUGACGUCAAGUCAUCAUGGCCCUUACGACCAGGGCUACACACGUGCUACAAUGGCGCAUACAAAGAGAAGCGACCUCGCGAGAGUAAGCGGACCUCAUAAAGUGCGUCGUAGUCCGGAUUGGAGUCUGCAACUCGACUCCAUGAAGUCGGAAUCGCUAGUAAUCGUGGAUCAGAAUGCCACGGUGAAUACGUUCCCGGGCCUUGUACACACCGCCCGUCACACCAUGGGAGUGGGUUGCAAAAGAAGUAGGUAGCUUAACCUUCGGGAGGGCGCUUACCACUUUGUGAUUCAUGACUGGGGUGAAGUCGUAACAAGGUAACCGUAGGGGAACCUGCGGUUGGAUCACCUCCUUA